This 267-nucleotide long non-coding RNA is filed under the name Homo sapiens (human). RNAcentral describes it as "non-protein coding lnc-IQCK-1:1". Lineage: Eukaryota; Metazoa; Chordata; Mammalia; Primates; Hominidae. The record is from RNAcentral.
GCACACAGGUUUUGCCCAGGGAGGAUGGAGUGGGCAGUUUGGUUUGUGACUGGAGCAGGACGUGAGUGAGGUUUUAUAGAUCCAUAUGCCUGGCUGUUCUGAGCUUAUCAUCCCUGUGCUGAUGAGGCCAUUGCGAUGAGAAGAGGCUAGACGAGGUCCAGACAGCUCCCCAUCACACCCCGGCGUUAGGAGCACGCCUUUCUCCUCUUCCUUUAUCGGAUCAAAGUCUUCCAUCAAGCUGUCUGGUUCUGUCUUAUUCAAUUAAAC